UACGAAGGGUGCAAGCGUUACUCGGAAUUACUGGGCGUAAAGGGUGCGUAGGUGGUCGUUUAAGUCCGUUGUGAAAUCCCUGGGCUCAACCUGGGAAUGGCAGUGGAUACUGGACGGCUAGAAUGCGGUAGAGGGUAGUGGAAUUCCCGGUGUAGCAGUGAAAUGCGUAGAGAUCGGGAAGAACACCCGUGGCGAAGGCGGCUCUCUGGGACGGUACUGACGCUGAGACGCGAAAGCGUGGGGAGCGAACAGG
This 253-nucleotide ribosomal RNA is filed under the name uncultured bacterium. RNAcentral describes it as "partial 16S ribosomal RNA". It matches the Rfam family "Bacterial small subunit ribosomal RNA", at positions 524 to 776 of the family's 1533-position model. The record is from RNAcentral.